Molecule: long non-coding RNA, 891 nt
Filed under: Panax ginseng (ginseng)
Lineage: Eukaryota; Viridiplantae; Streptophyta; Magnoliopsida; Apiales; Araliaceae
Description: long non-coding RNA (PGIN_LNC000823)
Source: RNAcentral
CCGAUUACAUCAUUUGUUGUUCAUAAGUAUAAUACAUACAAUCAUACUAAUCUAUUACAAGACAUUUAACUAUCCAUCUUAGCCUUGCCUUUAUCUCUCUUAGAAUUCCCAGUACGUUCGGCUUUAGCUGCAAUCAUAUAAUUAACGCAAGAAGUGAGCAUAACUAGCUCAGCAAGUCUAACAAAGAAUACUAUCAAUACCACAUUCGUGAAUUAUAUAAUUAUCUUACACAACUGAACAAAUAGUCAUGAAGUACUACGAAACAUUAACUAGUACUUAUCAAUUCAUAACAUCAAUCCCAAAGUAUAUAAUAGCUUAGGAAUUCUGAACCGGUCGUAAGACCAUUACCAUUCUUUUUUACGUUUUCAUACAUAAAAGGACAUCACAGUACAAAAGUUGUACAUUCGACAUUUCUUACUAGCACUUCUAGGUGAUCAGCCUAUAGUACUCUAGGUUGAUCAACAUUCAUCCGUUAAACAUAUUUACAUUUACGAUUUGGCAAACUCACGUGCCUAUCGAAUAAAUGAUGAAAAAUACUUUUGUUUGUUCAUGGACAAACUUACCUUUGAAUCCGUACCAAAUAUUUGGCAUAGGACAACAUUAUCAUUUCUAUAUAAAAAGACAUGUUCACAAAUUAAUUUAACUCUUAAGAAUAGUCUAACCAAGUUAAAAUUGGCAUUGACCCUUUCCUUAAAAUCAUUCAUGCAACUCAUUAAAUGAAUCACAGAAAACUCGGCUAACACGAAGGUUAGACAAGCGUUAAGAAAACAUGCCUUCAAGCAUCUUUGAAUAAAAUAUUCAACAGUUCUCAGUCUUUAUAGUAUCUACAUGAUAUAAUCACAUAGCACACUAUAAUUAGUUACAAAACAAUCUUAUCACAUUGCUAUUACC